AAUUUACAGCAUAUUAACAGCGUAAAUAUACAGUACUGAACUGUUUUCUAAAAUUACGGUGUCUUACCGUAAAUGCACACGUGAUCGGUGGGAGAGGGGGAACCAAAGGCUAGCUGACGCAUGGAGGAGCAUGGUUUCAGUCAAAGUUUUAUGGAUUUCAUCUCAAGUUGAGGCUCAUUUACAGGAACAUGAAGAUGGACUGGUUUCACAUGCAGAUGUUGCAGCAUCUGCAUCUGAGGUUGAGAAGACACUCAAUCUACCUGCCAAUCCUCAUC
Long non-coding RNA from Carassius auratus (goldfish), 275 nucleotides. RefSeq lists it as uncharacterized. NCBI's taxonomy places the organism in Eukaryota, Metazoa, Chordata, Actinopteri, Cypriniformes, Cyprinidae. The record is from RefSeq and is a predicted model, not a curated record. The transcript is spliced from 3 exons.